UCGGGAAUUUUGGGCAAUGGGCGAAAGCCUGACCCAGCAACGCCGCGUGAAGGAUGAAGUAUUUCGGUAUGUAAACUUCGUAAGAAUAGGAAGAAUAAAUGACGGUACUAUUUAUAAGGUCCGGCUAACUACGUGCCAGCAGCCGCGGUAAUACGUAGGGACCAAGUGUUGUUCGGAUUUACUGGGCGUAAAGGGCGCGUAGGCGGCAUGACAAGUCACUUGUGAAAUCUCUGGGCUUAACCCAGAACGGCCAAGUGAUACUGUCGCGCUAGAGUGCAGAAGGGGCAAUCGGAAUUCUUGGUGUAGCGGUGAAAUGCGUAGAUAUCAAGAGGAACACCUGAGGUGAAGACGGGUUGCUGGGCUGACACUGACGCUGAGGCGCGAAAGCCAGGGGAGCAAACGGGAUUAGAUACCCCAGUAGUCCCUGAGCGGGCUGGCAAGGCGCAU
This 447-nucleotide ribosomal RNA is filed under the name uncultured bacterium. RNAcentral describes it as "bacterial SSU rRNA". It matches the Rfam family "Bacterial small subunit ribosomal RNA", at positions 355 to 825 of the family's 1533-position model. The record is from RNAcentral.